GGGGGCGGGGCGGGCCGGCGCUGCCUGCCGCAGCAGCGCGGUCUGCGAUUGGUUGGCGCGGGGUGAUGGGCGGGCCUCUGCGUGGGGCGUGAAGCAGGGUCGCUGUCAUGCUCUAAACACCCUGAGCUACCGAGUGUGACGGAAGGUGAAAAAGGAGCUCCAAAGACUGGAGGGGAUUGCUGGAAAGUGAGCUGAGUGUUCUGGAAGGGCUGGCUGUGGCCCGCCAUGUUUGAACCUGGCAAAAGCGAAAGGAUCUGGUGGGAACAUCUUCCUCCUGCCCGAACUAAUAAAACCACGCGCCAACCUUCUGCUUUUUAUUGGCUAGUGAUGACCGAUCAGAAAAAUUUUUAAGUACUUCUCAAGUUUCUGCCUUGGAGACACAGAAGUCUGGAACGUGCGCAGAAGAACAGAUUACUGAACAGAAAACAAUUAUGGAAAUGGUCCAAAUGAUUCUGAAUUUUAAGAGCAAAUGGUGGCAACAAUGAAUUCAUCACCACAUAGGAAACCACCAAUGAGACUUUGCUUUAGUCAAAGCGGGCAGCCUCCUUUGAACUGGAAGUGAAUUGGAAGGAAAAUUCGCAGGUUGACUUUAGAAGUUAAAAAACUAUCUAUUUCCUUCCAAGAGUAAACUAUGCCAAGGGAGGAGAAGGAAGUGAUUUUAUAUCAGAGAUGCCUGGCAAACACAAGGUGAUCAAGGUCAACGUCAACAAUGAUAAGUCAGACAACUCAAUGUUGAAAUGGCUCUCUGUUUAGAGCCCAGUGACAUGUUUAUGGUCAGGCAAAGAAAAGAUGCCUUCAGAGAGAGCCACAUGGAGGAGGCACUGUCUGAACUGGAGAUGGCCUGACUGGAGAAGACCUCUGCCUACUCACUGCUGCCUGCUUUUCCAGAUCUCAGGAUGCAUGGUGAUUCCUCUAGAUGCUCUAACUUGACUCCUGAUGCUAAAUUAUUUGCCGUUGCUAAAUUCUCUCACCUAAUCUUGAAGCUGGUUUUCAUUACAUAGCUCUAUCGUUGGGAAAUUGUUUGAUGUCUUCUUUUCUCAUUAGACAUGGAAAUUCUCUGAGAAUAGAUUCCAUAUCUGUCAUGUUCACUGACAUUUCUCAAUCACUUAGCAUAACAAUUGGCAUAUAAUGUACUCUCAGUAAAUUUUUUUGAAUGAAACUAAA
This is a long non-coding RNA of Marmota monax (woodchuck), 1164 nucleotides long. RefSeq lists it as uncharacterized. The transcript is spliced from 4 exons. The record is from RefSeq and is a predicted model, not a curated record. NCBI's taxonomy places the organism in Eukaryota, Metazoa, Chordata, Mammalia, Rodentia, Sciuridae.